GAUGAACGCUGGCGGCGUGCCUAAUACAUGCAAGUCGAGCGAACAGACGAGGAGCUUGCUCCUCUGACGUUAGCGGCGGACGGGUGAGUAACACGUGGAUAACCUACCUAUAAGACUGGGAUAACUUCGGGAAACCGGAGCUAAUACCGGAUAAUAUAUUGAACCGCAUGGUUCAAUAGUGAAAGACGGUUUUGCUGUCACUUAUAGAUGGAUCCGCGCCGCAUUAGCUAGUUGGUAAGGGAACGGCUUACCAAGGCGACGAUGCGUAGCCGACCUGAGAGGGUGAUCCGCCACACUGAAACUGAGACACGGUCCAGACUCCUACGGGAGGCAGCAGUGGGGAAUCUUCCGCAAUGGGCGAAGGCCUGACGGAGCAACGCCGCGUGAGUGAUGAGGGUCUUCGGAUCGUAAAACUCUGUUAUUAGGGAAGAACAAAUGUGUAAGUAACUAUGCACGUCUUGACGGUACCUAAUCAGAAAGCCACGGCUAACUACGUG
This 497-nucleotide ribosomal RNA is filed under the name uncultured bacterium. RNAcentral describes it as "partial 16S ribosomal RNA". It matches the Rfam family "Bacterial small subunit ribosomal RNA", at positions 28 to 507 of the family's 1533-position model. The record is from RNAcentral.